This 800-nucleotide unclassified non-coding RNA is filed under the name uncultured Clavulina. RNAcentral's name for it is "sequence contains ITS1, 5.8S rRNA gene and ITS2". The stretch from base 255 to 408 matches the Rfam family "5.8S ribosomal RNA". Lineage: Eukaryota; Fungi; Basidiomycota; Agaricomycetes; Cantharellales; Hydnaceae. The record is from RNAcentral.
AAGUCGUAACAAGGUUUCCGUAGGUGAACCUGCGGAAGGAUCAUUAAUGAGUUGUGAUGGGGUUUGAUGCUGGCAGCCAAUUUUUGGAUGCAUGUGCUUGCCCUAACAAUCAUCUUCCGAACACCUGUGCACAUUUUUGAGGGAGUUUCGAGUUUUAUUGCCGUUUUUGGUGAUUUUCUUGUAUUCCCUUGAAUUAUUAUACGCUGUUAACAAUGAUGAACGUGCUCUGUGCCGCAAGGCCAUUAAUAUAAUACAACUUUUAACAACGGAUCUCUUGGCUCUCGCAUCGAUGAAGAACGCAGCGAAAUGCGAUAAGUAAUGUGAAUUGCAGAAUUCAGUGAAUCAUCGAAUCUUUGAACGCACCUUGCGCUCCCUGGUAUUCCGGGGAGCACGCCUGUUCGAGUGUCGCGAAAUUUCUCAAGCUUGGAUGGCCUUUUUGUCUGUCCUUAGCCUUGGUUGUUGGGCUUUGCCGUGUCCUUUGUUGGGACGGCUGGCCUUAAAAGCAUUAGCUGAUCCUCGUGUGGCACUGGUUCUACUCAGCGUGAUAACAGUCUGAUCGCUGAGGACAUCUUUUGGGAUGGCCAGUUCUCAUUUGGGUUGCUUCCAAACUUGGUUUUGCAGAUUCUUCAAUCUGUGUUCCACUUUUCAGCUUUGACCUCGAAUCAGGUGGGACUACCCGCUGAACUUAAGCAUAUCAAUAAGCGGAGGAAAAGAAACUAACAAGGAUUCCCCUAGUAACGGCGAGUGAAGCGGGAAGAGCUCAAAUUUAAAAUCUGGCAUCUUUGGUUGUCCGAAUUGUA